AUGGCGAUGCGGGCGCCGGCGGCGGUGCUGCUUCUGGCGGUGGCGAGCGUGCUGGCGGCGGGCGCGGCGGCGCAGUCGACGGGCACGCCGGCGUGCGCGUCCAAGCUGACGGGCUGCGCCGGCUACAUGAACGGCACGGACGCGCAGAAGCCGCCGGAGACCUGCUGCGGCCCGCUCCGGGACGCCGUCAAGAACGAGAAGCCCUGCCUCUGCGCGCUCUACGCCUCGCCCGAGAUCUUCAAGGCCUUCAACAUCAACGUCACCGACGCGCUCCGCCUCUCCAAGCGCUGCGGCGUCUCCGAGGACGUCAGCAGCUGCCCCAGUAAUUCACCCGCCCCCCCUCCCUCCCCCUCCUAUUUUAGGAAUUUUUUUUACCGCGCGGAAUGUUUGUCUGCUUCAUUUCAGAUGCGAUUUGCUCCAUCUGCUUCCACGUUUUAG
RNAcentral lists this ribosomal RNA (438 nucleotides) under Triticum aestivum (bread wheat). RNAcentral describes it as "partial small subunit ribosomal RNA". Lineage: Eukaryota; Viridiplantae; Streptophyta; Magnoliopsida; Poales; Poaceae. The record is from RNAcentral.